GACAACCAGAGACUAUGUGUUUAUCUAGUAUAUUCCAUGUAUAUCUGUAACAUAGUGUUUAUCCUUAUCCUUAUCUUGUUAGGAUAAACAUGACCUUAUGACGGUCUAAUACCUUGUAUAUAUAUGGACCUUCUGGUCGACAGUAAUAAUGACAGAAAUAUUUCCCAACACUUCAUUUACAACACGUUAUCAACACGAUAGACUCCAAAACCCUGA
RNAcentral lists this long non-coding RNA (216 nucleotides) under Brassica napus (rape). RNAcentral's name for it is "long non-coding RNA (BNAP_LNC025537)". The record is from RNAcentral. Lineage: Eukaryota; Viridiplantae; Streptophyta; Magnoliopsida; Brassicales; Brassicaceae.